This 253-nucleotide ribosomal RNA is filed under the name uncultured bacterium. RNAcentral describes it as "partial 16S ribosomal RNA". It matches the Rfam family "Bacterial small subunit ribosomal RNA", at positions 524 to 776 of the family's 1533-position model. The record is from RNAcentral.
UACGUAGGGGGCAAGCGUUAUCCGGAUUUACUGGGUGUAAAGGGGGCGCAGACGGCAGCACAAGCCAGGAGUGAAAGCCCGGGGCCCAACCCCGGGACUGCUCUUGGAACUGCGCGGCUGGAGUGCAGGAGGGGCAGGCGGAAUUCCUGGUGUAGCGGUGAAAUGCGUAGAUAUCAGGAGGAACACCGGUGGCGAAGGCGGCCUGCUGGACUGCGACUGACGUUGAGGCCCGAAAGCGUGGGGAGCAAACAGG